GAUCUAAAGAAACGACUCAGGGUCUGCGGCGCUUGCACGUCAACGGAAGGUGUGAGCCCAAAGGUCUGGACCCAGAAAUGGGACGUCGGUCAUCAGAUACUGAAGAAGAAAGCAGAAGCAAGAGAAAAAAGAAACACCGUAGGCGGUCCUCCUCGAGCAGUUCUUCAGAUAGUAGAACAUACAGCCGAAAGAAAGGAGGAAGGAAAUCAAGAUCAAAGUCAAGAUCUUGGUCCAGAGAUCUUCAGCCUCGUUCACAUUCUUAUGAUAGAAGACGCAGGCAUCGAUCAAGCAGUAGUUCUUCUUAUGGCUCCAGAAGGAAACGAAGUCGAAGUCGUUCAAGGGGUCGAGGGAAAUCCUACAGAGUUCAGAGGUCUAGGUCAAAAAGCAGAACAAGAAGUUUUUCAAUGGGUGUGGAGAUCAUGCAGGAGCAAUAGAGAAAACGAGAAAAUUGUGGACGAGCAAAACUGGGCAACAUUGUUCUUGGACAGAUAGUCUGAAAGUGAGCCGUUUGCUUGAGGAUGAUAAGUUGAGUGUAAAAUGGGUCACACAUA
RNAcentral lists this small RNA (551 nucleotides) under Pongo abelii (Sumatran orangutan). Its description in RNAcentral is "processed transcript". Lineage: Eukaryota; Metazoa; Chordata; Mammalia; Primates; Hominidae. The record is from RNAcentral.